GACGAACGCUGGCGGCGUGCCUAACACAUGCAAGUCGAGCGGGGACAGUCAAGUAGCAAUACGAGGCUGUUCUAGCGGCGGACGGGUGAGUAACGCGUGAGCAACCUUUCCUUCACAGGGGGAUAACGCACCGAAAGGUGCACUAAUACCGCAUGAGACCACAGCGCGACAUCGCGUAGGGGUCAAAGGAGCAAUCCGGUGAAGGGUGGGCUCGCGUCUGAUUAGCUAGUUGGCGAGGUAACGGCCCACCAAGGCGACGAUCAGUAGCCGACCUGAGAGGGUGAUCGGCCACAUUGGGACUGAGACACGGCCCAAACUCCUACGGGAGGCAGCAGUGGGGAAUAUUGGGCAAUGGGGGAAACCCUGACCCAGCAACGCCGCGUGAGGGAAGAAGGUUUUCGGAUCGUAAACCUCUGUCCUUGGUGAAGAGAAGAGGACGGUAACCAGGGAGGAAGCCCCGGCUAACUACGUG
Molecule: ribosomal RNA, 472 nt
Filed under: uncultured bacterium
Lineage: Bacteria
Description: bacterial SSU rRNA
Rfam family: Bacterial small subunit ribosomal RNA
Source: RNAcentral